UGGGAGACUGUUGGAGGUAUGCCCUAGAGGCAAUCAUAGAGAUGAUGAUAUCCUAUUUGUAUCCAUGAUUUAUAUUGUGUUCCUUGAAUAUCCAUUAAAGGCUACUUGAAUUGAUUUGCAAUUAUGUGAAUUGUAUGUGAAACUCUUUACUUGUAUGGUUAUUCUAAAGUUGUCCCUAGUCGGAGUUUAUGUGAGGACACACAUGAAUAUUAGACUAGCACAUGUAUUAGUUGAUGACUAUGUUUCACAAGUCAUGGAUAUGGAGAUGUCAAACUAAUAAUGUAGGCAC
Molecule: long non-coding RNA, 289 nt
Filed under: Setaria viridis
Lineage: Eukaryota; Viridiplantae; Streptophyta; Magnoliopsida; Poales; Poaceae
Description: long non-coding RNA (SVIR_LNC000471)
Source: RNAcentral